GGCGGGGUUUCCAAUACCUCGUGGAUUGGGAGGGUUACGGUCCUGAGGCGAGACAAUGGAUACCUCGGUGCCAGAUCGUGGAUGCCGGUCUGCUUCGGGACUUCUAUAGGCUCCAUCCUGGUGCUCCGGGUGGUCCGCCCGGUGGCGUCCGUCGGAGGGGGGGUACUGUCAGGAAUUCAGCUUCCUGAACUGGGUUUCUGUUACAUUUCCAUUCUAACCUGAAGUUGUUUUUUCUGAGUUUCCCCAAACACACCCUGACUGAUUAUUCAACCAUCGACACCUGCUGCCGCCUGCACACCCGGUCCUGAUUACCAUCCCCUUUAAGCCGUGACCAGACUACCAGUCCCUGCCGGAUCGUAGCGUACCACCUCAUCCCUUGGAUCGCCCUUUCCCCCUGCCUAGCCGCUGACCCCACUCAUCCCCACCCAACCGGACCAGACCUUCCCCACACUUUUUCCAUAAUAAAUACCCACCGUUCAUUUUGA
This is a long non-coding RNA of Pungitius pungitius (ninespine stickleback), 485 nucleotides long. RefSeq lists it as uncharacterized. NCBI's taxonomy places the organism in Eukaryota, Metazoa, Chordata, Actinopteri, Perciformes, Gasterosteidae. The transcript has 2 exons. The record is from RefSeq and is a predicted model, not a curated record.